This 1491-nucleotide long non-coding RNA is filed under the name Anser brachyrhynchus (Pink-footed goose). Its description in RNAcentral is "lncRNA (ENSABRG00000003164.1)". The record is from RNAcentral. Lineage: Eukaryota; Metazoa; Chordata; Aves; Anseriformes; Anatidae.
AUGGUUUCGAUAAGGCCACUUUUAACAAGCUUCCCACGGGGGAAUGGAAGGAACCAUCUCACACAGCAGCAACAAAAACGCUGUGCGUUUAGAAACAGAAGGGGUGACCUGAGCGCGGAGCGCUCGUUUGUUUCUGAGAGCCUCAGAACUCGAGCGAGAGACACGCAGGAAAUUCUUUUGCUCUCUGGGGAGGCUCAGAGGCCGAUAUUCACACAAAAACAGGAGUCAGACCUCUGGCGAUACCCAGUACCGCGUGAAUCACGGCCCGCCUGCACAUGCCGAGCCCGGGGUAACAGCGACAGCGCGCCUCCCGCACCGCUUCCGACCCAGGCGGAGCUGCGGGGCCGAAAAUGCCCAACGGCCGCGAGAAAGCAGCGCGGGGCCUCCGACCGCCGCUCCGCUUGCGGCGGGCUGCCUCCGAGCAGCUCCCCGAGGAGCCCGGGGACCCGAACAGCCCCCGGGAGCCCCCGGGCCGGGCCAGGCCGCGGCUGUGCCUCCCCUCGGCGACCCCGCAGCCGCCUUCACGCCGCCGCCGGUGCGGGACGAGGCCGUGCCCAGGCCGCUCCGCGCAGCGAGCCCCAGGGGCGCGGCAGGCCCGGACGGGGACGGGGACACGGGGACGGGGACACUCGGACACACGGCCAAGGCCGAGCCACCGGACGCAGCCGAGGCACGGAGCCGGGGCACGGAGCGGCGCCGCGGGCAGGCUCCGGCCGCGGCCCUGCGGCCCCGAAGCCGAGCGCCGUGCCGGGCCGGGCCGGGCCGUUCUGUGCCGGGCCGUUCCGUUCCGUGCCGCGCCGCCCCGCCGCCCCCCGGCCGUGCCCGCUCCGCCGCCGCGAACAUGGCGCCGCCGCCCCCCGCUGCCCGCCCGCGCCGCCCCCGCCCUCACCUUCCGUCAGUUCCAUUCUAACCGCCCCCGCCGCGUCCGCCGAGCCCCGCGGAGACAAAGGCCGGCGGCGGGGGCGGCGGGGCCCGGCCGCCCGUCCCGUCGCGCCGCUGCAGGCCGCGCCGCAGCCCCGGCCUCGAGUUCCGCGCCCCCGCCGCUGCCGCCGCCGCCGCCGCCGGGCCCCGCCCCGGGAGGCCGCCCGGCCCCCUGCGCGGCCGCGGGGAGGCGCCGGGCGGGCGGCGGGGGAAGGCGGGCGGGCGGCGAGGCGCUGCGCUGCGCUGCGGGGCCGCCCCGGGCCCGCCCCGCGCCGCUCCGUGCCCCCGGCCCCGCUCCCGGCCCGGCCCCGGCCCCGGCCCCGCUCCCGCGCCGCCGCCUCCGCCCCCCCCCCCGCCGCCGCGUCCCGCGCCUGCGCGCGCCGCCGCGCCCCAUUGGCCGCCCGGGAGGAGCCCGCCGCGGGGCACGCUGGGGGAUGUAGUCCUGCGGGAGGAGGGGGGCGCGGGGUCGCAUCCUGCCCCUGCGGUGGUGCCGGGCGGGGGCGCAGGCGGCGAGCGGGGCCUGGGGGCACCGCCUGCAGCGGGUCGGGGAACACAUCGUCCUCCGGCUAA